Diorhabda sublineata is the source of this 131-nucleotide small nuclear RNA. RefSeq annotates it as U11 spliceosomal RNA. The transcript has a single exon. The record is from RefSeq and is a predicted model, not a curated record. Lineage: Eukaryota; Metazoa; Arthropoda; Insecta; Coleoptera; Chrysomelidae.
AAAAAGGGUGCUUGUUACUGGAGAGCAUACGAAUUCAUACGGGUUCGUAGGGUAUGGCAAUCAAGACAUACCCAGCACGUAAUUUUUGUUACCGUGGGGCUGUCUCUUGGCAAUGUCUCAGAGACGCCCCC